CCUACGGGAGGCAGCAGUGGGGAAUUUUGGACAAUGGGCGAAAGCCUGAUCCAGCCAUGCCGCGUGCAGGAUGAAGGCCUUCGGGUUGUAAACUGCUUUUGUACGGAACGAAAAGACUCUGGUUAAUACCUGGGGUCCAUGACGGUACCGUAAGAAUAAGCACCGGCUAACUACGUGCCAGCAGCCGCGGUAAUACGUAGGGUGCGAGCGUUAAUCGGAAUUACUGGGCGUAAAGCGUGCGCAGGCGGUUAUAUAAGACAGAUGUGAAAUCCCCGGGCUCAACCUGGGAACUGCAUUUGUGACUGUAUAGCUAGAGUACGGCAGAGGGGGAUGGAAUUCCGCGUGUAGCAGUGAAAUGCGUAGAUAUGCGGAGGAACACCGAUGGCGAAGGCAAUCCCCUGGGCCUGUACUGACGCUCAUGCACGAAAGCGUGGGGAGCAAACAGGAUUAGAUACCCUGGUAGUCCACGCCCUAAACGAUGUCAACUGGUUGUUGGGUCUUCACUGACUCAGUAACGAAGCUAACGCGUGAAGUUGACCGCCUGGGGAGUACGGCCGCAAGGUUGAAACUCAAAUGAAUUGACGGCUGAGACCGNGCGAGACGACACGAGGGAGGAGG
RNAcentral lists this ribosomal RNA (618 nucleotides) under uncultured bacterium. RNAcentral describes it as "bacterial SSU rRNA". It matches the Rfam family "Bacterial small subunit ribosomal RNA", at positions 338 to 951 of the family's 1533-position model. The record is from RNAcentral.